AUAGCGUAUAUUAAAGUUGUUGCAGUUAAAAAGCUCGUAGUUGAACUUCAGGCCUGACCGGGUGGUCCGCCUAACGGCGUGUACUGUCUUGCCGGGCCCUACCUCUUGGUGAGCCGGCAUGCCCUUCACUGGGUGUGUCGGGGAACCAGGACCUUUACCUUGAGAAAAUUAGAGUGUUCAAAGCAGGCUUACGCCGGAAUACAUUAGCAUGGAAUAAUAAAAUAGGACGUGCGGUUCUAUUUUGUUGGUUUCUAGAGUCGCCGUAAUGAUUAAUAGGGAUAGUUGGGGGCAUUUGUAUUGCGUUGCUAGAGGUGAAAUUCUUGGAUUUACGCAAGACAAACUAUUG
This 346-nucleotide ribosomal RNA is filed under the name uncultured eukaryote. RNAcentral describes it as "SSU rRNA". It matches the Rfam family "Eukaryotic small subunit ribosomal RNA", at positions 594 to 945 of the family's 1831-position model. The record is from RNAcentral.